This 256-nucleotide long non-coding RNA is filed under the name Gossypium barbadense (sea-island cotton). RNAcentral's name for it is "long non-coding RNA (GBAR_LNC013628)". The record is from RNAcentral. Lineage: Eukaryota; Viridiplantae; Streptophyta; Magnoliopsida; Malvales; Malvaceae.
GGCUAAAUAAUACUAAUUUAAAAUUAUAUUAUGAACAACCAAAUUAAAAUUGAUAAACCAAAUUAACAUAAAUUAUCUAAAAUGAAAAUAACCAGUUAACAAUUGAAAUUACUUCCAAUAAAACAAGUAGGAGAUUAACUCACUUUGGUGUUCCUAAUUAACUUCAGAACUCGAUUUUUAUUGAGUUAGCUAUUAAUUAAUAGGUUAUUACCUCUUGACCUCUAACUAAUUAACUAAUCGACCAAUACACGCUUAC